AUUCCUCAUGCAUAUCCUGAGCUUCUCUUCUUACCUCUCUCAGUUCUAUCAAAGCUUUGGACUCUUUGUCCUCUACACUGCGGUAAAUGUUCGGAACUGAGAAGGAGAUACCCUGUAUAUUGCGCUCCAACCAAGCUUUGUAAGUUUCAUCGUACCCCGCAUUAAAUCGAUCUAUGGCAAUGGUGUCCUUGUUCAUUCGCACUGCUCUUUUCCAUUCUCUCAGCAUCUCUAAAGCCUCAGGCACUCUAUCAUCCCCGAUGUCGAACACAUAGAUAC
This 276-nucleotide long non-coding RNA is filed under the name Solanum tuberosum (potato). Its description in RNAcentral is "long non-coding RNA (STUB_LNC009764)". The record is from RNAcentral. Lineage: Eukaryota; Viridiplantae; Streptophyta; Magnoliopsida; Solanales; Solanaceae.